CAGCUGUGUGAUAAGCACAAAGUGAAUUAUUCUUUCACCUUUUUUUAAAGAAUACCAUGUACUUUUCACUAAAAAACAGCAUACAUUAAUUUUUUAAGAGCCCUGACAAAUUGCAAGUUA
Small nuclear RNA from Zingiber officinale, 120 nucleotides. RefSeq annotates it as U5 spliceosomal RNA. The transcript has a single exon. The record is from RefSeq and is a predicted model, not a curated record. Lineage: Eukaryota; Viridiplantae; Streptophyta; Magnoliopsida; Zingiberales; Zingiberaceae.